RNAcentral lists this long non-coding RNA (244 nucleotides) under Jatropha curcas. RNAcentral describes it as "long non-coding RNA (JCUR_LNC002403)". The record is from RNAcentral. Lineage: Eukaryota; Viridiplantae; Streptophyta; Magnoliopsida; Malpighiales; Euphorbiaceae.
AUAUAUCAAUCUAGUCAUCCGACUAGUUAUAUGCUCACACAGCCAGUCACACAAAUGGCAUAUCACCAGCACUCACAAUUAUUAACAUCUUCAUAUAAUCACAUCACGUGGAAAUUGAUCAGUGGCGUCACCGAAACUUCGAUGAGCCGUCCUCCCACAUGGCUCAUCCACUCACGUGUGCACCAGGGAGCCGAUCCCCCAUACUGGCCGACCGGUUUAAUCCUCACUUGACCAGCCCUCUCNN